AUUGAACGCUGGCGGCAGGCCUAACACAUGCAAGUCGAGCGGAUGAAGGGAGCUUGCUCCUGGAUUCAGCGGCGGACGGGUGAGUAAUGCCUAGGAAUCUGCCUGGUAGUGGGGGAUAACGUCCGGAAACGGGCGCUAAUACCGCAUACGUCCUGAGGGAGAAAGUGGGGGAUCUUCGGACCUCACGCUAUCAGAUGAGCCUAGGUCGGAUUAGCUAGUUGGUGGGGUAAAGGCCUACCAAGGCGACGAUCCGUAACGGGUCUGAGGGGAUGAUCAGUCACACUGGAACUGAGACACGGUCCAGACUCCUACGGGAGGCAGCAGUGGGGAAUAUUGGACAAUGGGCGAAAGCCUGAUCCAGCCAUGCCGCGUGUGUGAAGAAGGUCUUCGGAUUGUAAAGCACUUUAAGUUGGGAGGAAGGGCAGUAAGUUAAUACCUUGCUGUUUUGACGUUACCAACAGAAUAAGCACCGGCUAACUUCGUG
RNAcentral lists this ribosomal RNA (484 nucleotides) under uncultured bacterium. Its description in RNAcentral is "partial 16S ribosomal RNA". It matches the Rfam family "Bacterial small subunit ribosomal RNA", at positions 30 to 507 of the family's 1533-position model. The record is from RNAcentral.